GGGUUGUGAGGUUAAGCGACUAAGCGUACACGGUGGAUGCCUAGGCAGUCAGAGGCGAUGAAGGGCGUGCUAAUCUGCGAAAAGCGUCGGUAAGCUGAUAUGAAGCGUUAUAACCGACGAUACCCGAAUGGGGAAACCCAGUGCAAUACGUUGCACUAUCGUUAGAUGAAUACAUAGUCUAACGAGGCGAACCGGGGGAACUGAAACAUCUAAGUACCCCGAGGAAAAGAAAUCAACCGAGAUUCCCCCAGUAGCGGCGAGCGAACGGGGAGGAGCCCAGAGUCUGAAUCAGUUUGUGUGUUAGUGGAAGCGUCUGGAAAGUCGCACGGUACAGGGUGAUAGUCCCGUACACCAAAAUGCACAGGCUGUGAACUCGAUGAGUAGGGCGGGACACGUGACAUCCUGUCUGAAUAUGGGGGGACCAUCCUCCAAGGCUAAAUACUCCUGACUGACCGAUAGUGAACCAGUACCGUGAGGGAAAGGCGAAAAGAACCCCGGCGAGGGGAGUGAAAUAGAACCUGAAACCGUGUACGUACAAGCAGUGGGAGCACCUUCGUGGUGUGACUGCGUACCUUUUGUAUAAUGGGUCAGCGACUUAUAUUUUGUAGCAAGGUUAACCGAAUAGGGGAGCCGUAGGGAAACCGAGUCUUAACUGGGCGUCUAGUUGCAAGGUAUAGACCCGAAACCCGGUGAUCUAGCCAUGGGCAGGUUGAAGGUUGGGUAACACUAACUGGAGGACCGAACCGACUAAUGUUGAAAAAUUAGCGGAUGACUUGUGGCUGGGGGUGAAAGGCCAAUCAAACCGGGAGAUAGCUGGUUCUCCCCGAAAGCUAUUUAGGUAGCGCCUCGUGAACUCAUCUUCGGGGGUAGAGCACUGUUUCGGCUAGGGGGCCAUCCCGGCUUACCAAACCGAUGCAAACUCCGAAUACCGAAGAAUGUUAUCACGGGAGACACACGGCGGGUGCUAACGUCCGUCGUGAAGAGGGAAACAACCCAGACCGCCAGCUAAGGUCCCAAAGUCAUGGUUAAGUGGGAAACGAUGUGGGAAGGCACAGACAGCCAGGAUGUUGGCUUAGAAGCAGCCAUCAUUUAAAGAAAGCGUAAUAGCUCACUGGUCGAGUCGGCCUGCGCGGAAGAUGUAACGGGGCUAAACCAUGCACCGAAGCUGCGGCAGCGACACUUAGGUGUUGUUGGGUAGGGGAGCGUUCUGUAAGCCGUUGAAGGUGACCUGUGAGGGUUGCUGGAGGUAUCAGAAGUGCGAAUGCUGACAUAAGUAACGAUAAUGCGGGUGAAAAACCCGCACGCCGGAAGACCAAGGGUUCCUGUCCAACGUUAAUCGGGGCAGGGUGAGUCGACCCCUAAGGCGAGGCUGAAAAGCGUAGUCGAUGGGAAACAGGUUAAUAUUCCUGUACUUGGUGUUACUGCGAAGGGGGGACGGAGAAGGCUAGGCUGGCCGGGCGACGGUUGUCCCGGUUUAAGCGUGUAGGGGGAGUGACCAGGUAAAUCCGGUUGCUUAUCAACCCUGAGGCGUGAUGACGAUGCACCACGGUGCAGAAGCAGUUGAUGCCAUGCUUCCAGGAAAAGCCUCUAAGCAUCAGGUAACAUUAAAUCGUACCCCAAACCGACACAGGUGGUCAGGUAGAGAAUACUCAGGCGCUUGAGAGAACUCGGGUGAAGGAACUAGGCAAAAUGGUGCCGUAACUUCGGGAGAAGGCACGCUGGCGUUAGGUGAAAGGACUAGCUCCUGGAGCUGAAGCCAGUCGCAGAUACCAGCUGGCUGCAACUGUUUAAUAAAAACACAGCACUGUGCAAACACGAAAGUGGACGUAUACGGUGUGACGCCUGCCCGGUGCUGGAAGGUUAAUUGAUGGGGUCAGCCGCAAGGCGAAGCUCUUGAUCGAAGCCCCAGUAAACGGCGGCCGUAACUAUAACGGUCCUAAGGUAGCGAAAUUCCUUGUCGGGUAAGUUCCGACCUGCACGAAUGGCGUAAUGAUGGCCAGGCUGUCUCCACCCGAGACUCAGUGAAAUUGAACUCGCUGUGAAGAUGCAGUGUACCCGCGGCAAGACGGAAAGACCCCGUGAACCUUUACUAUAGCUUGACACUGAACAUUGAGCCUUGAUGUGUAGGAUAGGUGGGAGGCCUUGAAGUGUGGACGCCAGUCUGCAUGGAGCCAACCUUGAGAUACCACCCUUUAAUGUUUGAUGUUCUAACUCGGCCCCAUGAUCUGGGGUGAGGACAGUGUCUGGUGGGUAGUUUGACUGGGGCGGUCUCCUCCCAAAGAGUAACGGAGGAGCACGAAGGUUAGCUAAUCACGGUCGGACAUCGUGAGGUUAGUGCAAAGGCAUAAGCUAGCUUGACUGCGAGAGUGACGGCUCGAGCAGGUACGAAAGUAGGUCUUAGUGAUCCGGUGGUUCUGAAUGGAAGGGCCAUCGCUCAACGGAUAAAAGGUACUCCGGGGAUAACAGGCUGAUACCGCCCAAGAGUUCAUAUCGACGGCGGUGUUUGGCACCUCGAUGUCGGCUCAUCACAUCCUGGGGCUGAAGUAGGUCCCAAGGGUAUGGCUGUUCGCCAUUUAAAGUGGUACGCGAGCUGGGUUUAGAACGUCGUGAGACAGUUCGGUCCCUAUCUGCCGUGGGGCGUUGGAAGAUUGAGAGGGGCUGCUCCUAGUACGAGAGGACCGGAGUGGACGAAUCACUGGUGUUCGGGUUGUCAUGCCAAUGGCAUUGCCCGGUAGCUAAAUUCGGAAGAGAUAACCGCUGAAAGCAUCUAAGCGGGAAACUUGCCUCGAGAUGAGUCUUCCCUGGGGCUUAAAGCCCCCUGAAGGAACGUUAAAGACUAUGACGUUGAUAGGCUGGGUGUGUAAGUGCAGCGAUGUAUUGAGCUAACCAGUACUAAUGAUCCGUGAGGCUUAACCUUACAACACCGAAGGUGUUU
This 2935-nucleotide ribosomal RNA is filed under the name Yersinia pestis 24H. Its description in RNAcentral is "bacterial LSU rRNA". It matches the Rfam family "Bacterial large subunit ribosomal RNA". The record is from RNAcentral. Lineage: Bacteria; Pseudomonadati; Pseudomonadota; Gammaproteobacteria; Enterobacterales; Yersiniaceae.